Molecule: ribosomal RNA, 497 nt
Filed under: uncultured bacterium
Lineage: Bacteria
Description: partial 16S ribosomal RNA
Rfam family: Bacterial small subunit ribosomal RNA
Source: RNAcentral
GAUGAACGCUGGCGGCGUGCCUAAUACAUGCAAGUCGAGCGAACGGACGAGAAGCUUGCUUCUCUGAUGUUAGCGGCGGACGGGUUAGUAACACGUUGAUAACCUACCUAUAAGACUGGGAUAACUUCGGGAAACCGGAGCUAAUACCGGAUAAUAUUUUGAACCGCAUGGUUCAAAAGUGAAAGACGGUCUUGCUGUCACUUAUAGAUGGAUCCGCGCUGCAUUAGCUAGUUGGUAAGGUAACGGCUUACCAAGGCAACGAUGCAUAGCCGACCUGAGAGGGUGAUAGGCCACACUGGAACUGAGACACGGUCCAGACUCCUAAGGGAGGCAGCAGUAGGGAAUCUGCCGCAAUGGGCGAAAGCCUGACGGAGCAACGCCGCGUGAGUGAUGAAGGUCUUCGGAUCGUAAAACUCUGUUAUUAGGGAAGAACAUAUGUGUAAGUAACUGUGCACAUCGUGACGGUACCUAAUCAGAAAGCAACGGCUAACUACGUG